UACGAAGGGUGCAAACGUUGCUCGGAAUUAUUGGGCGUAAAGCGCACGUAGGCGGCAUUGCAAGUCGGAUGUGAAAUCCCUCGGCUUAACCAAGGAAGUGCAUCCGAAACUGCAGUGCUUGAGUACUUAAGAGGAUCGCGGAAUUCCCGGUGUAGAGGUGAAAUUCGUAGAUAUCGGGAGGAACACCAGUGGCGAAGGCGGCCUUCUGGACAGUGACUGACGCUGAGACGCGAAAGCGUGGGGAGCAAACAGG
RNAcentral lists this ribosomal RNA (253 nucleotides) under uncultured bacterium. RNAcentral describes it as "partial 16S ribosomal RNA". It matches the Rfam family "Bacterial small subunit ribosomal RNA", at positions 524 to 776 of the family's 1533-position model. The record is from RNAcentral.